This 28-nucleotide non-coding RNA is filed under the name Mus musculus (house mouse). The record is from RNAcentral. Lineage: Eukaryota; Metazoa; Chordata; Mammalia; Rodentia; Muridae.
UAAAGCAUUCCACCGUUUUUCAUCUAGA